GGGUGCUGUCAGGGAAAACCCCUUGCCCAGACAUCUCUUUCAUUUACUGCCCAGGAAGAUAUGCCACAAAAUGACUGUGAACCUGCCAGCCGUGGGCAGGGCCUUGAAUGUGAACCAAGACUGGUGAGGCCAAAGCCAAUUGUCCGGUAACAGUCAAAGUAGGAGAAACAUAGAAGUUGCUAAAUCAAUUCCCAAGGUCUUGUCUGGGCUCUGGACUUUAGGACAAAGCCAGGAGAGAAAGGAGAUGGCUCAAACAGCCCAGCUCAUCUCAGACAUUUCUUCACUGUUCACCAACAGGGGAAGCAAAUGAUGCCCCCAAGAAGGAAUGGUCAUCUCAGCACAUCGCACCUGCUUUGCUUCCACAAACCCAAGAAAACAUUCGUGUGGUGCAGAGGACACCUGCCAGCAGCACAGGAGGAGGAAGAAGGCCCACCUGUCUUGCUCAGUAAAUAGAACAGAGCCUGGAAGAUGGCUGCUAUUGGAUGAAGAACACUGGCUGACCUCAGCUUCAGCCAUCCCGUCAGCUAAUAGCACUACCAAUGAGGAAAUGUAUCAGGGCCAUUUCCUCCCUGAGCCACACAAGAUCCAGGUCUGGGUUGUUCUCAGUUUCCCUUCUGUUCACCAGUCUUGAAGGGCCAGAAUUAGUAGCAGCCUACUUCGGGGAGUCUGUGGUACCCUUGAAGAGUGAGAAUUUGGACACCUCUCCAAUUAGUCUUAUGCAUUCCAGACACAAGAACAUGGAGUUUGAGUGACACCAUCUAUAGAAUGUUUGAACCACAUUUUGUUGAAUCUCCAUAUUGGCCUCCAAAGCAGCUCUAAGAAUUAUGAAAUAAUGAAUCUCAAAGUAAUGGUCCAAAUUAAACUCUACUUAUGUUUACAAAUUGUGACAAAAAUAGUAAAACAAUUUUAUACACAAUAAUGAAAUAAAUCUUCUGAAAUAUA
Molecule: long non-coding RNA, 942 nt
Organism: Nannospalax galili (Upper Galilee mountains blind mole rat)
Lineage: Eukaryota; Metazoa; Chordata; Mammalia; Rodentia; Spalacidae
Exons: 3
Source: RefSeq, a predicted model, not a curated record